Molecule: ribosomal RNA, 460 nt
Filed under: uncultured bacterium
Lineage: Bacteria
Description: partial 16S ribosomal RNA
Rfam family: Bacterial small subunit ribosomal RNA
Source: RNAcentral
CCUACGGGUGGCAGCAGUGAGGAAUAUUGGUCAAUGGACGAGAGUCUGAACCAGCCAAGUAGCGUGAAGGAUGACUGCCCUAUGGGUUGUAAACUUCUUUUAUAUGGGAAUAAAAUGUUCCACGUGUGGGCUUUUGUAUGUACCAUAUGAAUAAGGAUCGGCUAACUCCGUGCCAGCAGCCGCGGUAAUACGGAGGAUCCGAGCGUUAUCCGGAUUUAUUGGGUUUAAAGGGAGCGUAGGUGGAUUGUUAAGUCAGUUGUGAAAGUUUGCGGCUCAACCGUAAAAUUGCAGUUGAAACUGGCAGUCUUGAGUACAGUAGAGGUGGGCGGAAUUCGUGGUGUAGCGGUGAAAUGCUUAGAUAUCACGAAGAACUCCGAUUGCGAAGGCAGCUUACUGGACUGCAACUGACACUGAGGCUCGAAAGUGUGGGUAUCAAACAGGAUUAGAUACCCUUGUAGUC